CGCGGCGUAGCUCAGCGCAGAGCAGCCGACUCAUAACCGGCACAGACCCGGGCUCGACGCCCGGCGCCGCG
This 71-nucleotide transfer RNA is filed under the name Streptomyces boetiae. RNAcentral's name for it is "Streptomyces sp. DSM 44917 tRNA-Met". It matches the Rfam family "tRNA". Rfam says of the family: Transfer RNA (tRNA) molecules are approximately 80 nucleotides in length. Their secondary structure includes four short double-helical elements and three loops (D, anti-codon, and T loops). Lineage: Bacteria; Bacillati; Actinomycetota; Actinomycetes; Kitasatosporales; Streptomycetaceae. RNAcentral also lists the same sequence under 1 other name. The record is from RNAcentral.